RNAcentral lists this ribosomal RNA (440 nucleotides) under uncultured bacterium. Its description in RNAcentral is "partial 16S ribosomal RNA". It matches the Rfam family "Bacterial small subunit ribosomal RNA", at positions 338 to 795 of the family's 1533-position model. The record is from RNAcentral.
CCUACGGGUGGCAGCAGUAGGGAAUAUUGCUCAAUGGGGGAAACCCUGAAGCAGCAACGCCGCGUGGAGGAUGAAGGUUUUCGGAUUGUAAACCCCUUUUGUUAGAGAAGAAAAUGACGGUAUCUAACGAAUAAGCACCGGCUAACUCCGUGCCAGCAGCCGCGGUAAUACGGAGGGUGCAAGCGUUACUCGGAUUCACUGGGCGUAAAGGGCGCGUAGGCGGGGUAGCAAGUCAGAUGUGAAAUCCUAUGGCUUAACCGUAGAACUGCAUGUGAAACUGUUAAUCUAGAGUAUGGGAGAGGUAGGUGGAAUUCUUGGUGUAGGGGUAAAAUCCGUAGAGAUCAGGAGGAAUACUGAUUGCGAAGGCGGCCUGCUGGAACGUAACUGACGCUGAUGCGCGAAAGCGUGGGGAGCAAACAGGAUUAGAUACCCUUGUAGUC